RNAcentral lists this long non-coding RNA (603 nucleotides) under Elaeis guineensis (African oil palm). Its description in RNAcentral is "long non-coding RNA (EGUI_LNC048268)". The record is from RNAcentral. Lineage: Eukaryota; Viridiplantae; Streptophyta; Magnoliopsida; Arecales; Arecaceae.
UGUAAGCAUCUGACUAAAUUUUCGAGACUGGGCUUGCAUUCCUGACUUUCCAUUCUAUGGGAAGCAUGAUUAUUCUUGCCAACUCCCUGGCUAGUCAGCAGUCUUGAAGUGCCUGAUCAGUGGGUUUGAAGCGCAUCCUGAUCGCAACAGUCAGCUCCCCAGAAGGCAUGUCUGGACCAUAGUCCGUGGUAAAAGUGGAGAGCAUCGGUGCCUUACCUUUGUCGGUACCUUUGUCGACAGCUUCCCAACCAGCUGCCUGACUUCCUUCAGACUCGGCUUGGAUCGAAAGGACUUGCACUACUUUAGUCGAUCUUGCUGGUGCUUCGACGAUACCACAUUAUCGUUGGCUAGGGGAGAAGCAGCAAUUAUCACGACUUCGAUGGCAGGUGGCAGAGACGAGCGCUCCGACGGUAUUAGGGGCAGCGAUGGCGAUACUCGAGGCAGCGAUGGUGGCUGUGUACUCUUUGGUACCCGAGAAGGAGACUCUUCUCUUGACUUCUUCGGUGGUCGAGAGAGACCACUAGACCCAGAUGCCACCUUGCUCUUCUUCUUCCGGACCACCUCCUUAAGAGAUCCCACCAUAACCCUCAUGCCUGUACGGAC